GGACCUCAGCGUCCGGGCAGAACGAUGGGGGUGGAGACGCUCCUUCAGGUAUACUGGGCCGAGGCCGUUUAGGGCUUUAAAGGUCAACACCAGCACUUUGAAUUGUGCUCGGAAACGUACUGGGAGCCAAUGUAGGUCUUUCAAGACCGGUGUUAUGUGGUCUCGGCGGCCGCCCCCAGUCACCAGUCUAGCUGCCGCAUUCUGGAUUAGUUGUAGUUUCCGAGUCACCUUCAAAGGUAGCCCCACGUAGAGCGCAUUGCAGUAGUCCAAGCGGGAGAUAACUAGAGCAUGCACCACUCUGGCGAGACAGUCCGUGGGCAGGUAGGGUCUCAGCCUGCGUACCAGGUGGAGUUGGUAGACAGCUGCCCUGGAUACAGAAUUGACCUGCGCCUCCAUGGACAGCUGUGAGUCCAAAAUGACUCCCAGGCUGCGCACCUGGUCCUUCAGGGGCACAGUUACCCUAUUCAGGACCAGGGAGUCCUCCACACCAGCCCGCCCCUGUCCCCCAAAAACAAUACUUCUGUCUUGUCAGGAUUCAACUUCAAUCCAUUAGCCGCCAUCCAUCCUCCAACCGCCUCCAGGCACUCACACAGGACCUUCACCGCCUUCACUGGUUCUGAUUUGAAAGAGAGGUAGAGCUGGGUAUCAUCUGCAUAUUGAUGGACACCCAGUCCAAAUCCCCUGAUGAUCUCUCCCAGCGGCUUCAUAUAGAUGUUAAAAAGCAUGGGGGAGAGGACGGAACCCUGAGGCACCCCACAAGUGAGGGCCCAGGGGUCUGAACACUCAUCCCCCACCACCACUUUCUGAACACGGCCCAGGAGGAAGGAGCGAAACCACUGUAUAACAGUGCCCCCAGCUCCCAGCCCCUCUAGACGGUCCAGAAGGAUGUUAUGGUCGAUUGUAUCAAAGGCCGCUGAGAGAUCCAGCAGAACCAGGAAACAACUCUCACCUUUGUCCCUAGCUCGCCGGAGAUCAUCAACCAGCGCGACCAAGGCAGUUUCAGUCCCAUGGUGAGGCCUGAAUCCCGAUUGGAAGGGAUCCAAAUGGUCCGCAUCCUCCAGGCGUGCCUGGAGUUGUUCAGCAACCACGCGCUCAAUCACCUUGCCCAAGAAUGGAAGAUUUGAGACUGGGCGAUAGUUGGCCAUACUGGCCGGGUCUAAAGAUGGUUUUUAAGAAGCGGUUUAAUGACCGCCUCUUUCAGCGGAUCUGGGAAUGUUCCCUCACAGAGGGAAGCAUUCACCACCCCGCAGAGCCCAUCGCCCAGCCCUUCCCGGCUUGCUUUUAUUAGCCAGGAUGGGCAAGGAUCAAGGAGACAGGUGGUUGGUUUCACGCGUCCAAGCAGCCUGUCCACAUCCUCGGGGGUAACGGAUUGAAAUUGAUUCCAUGCAACUUGACCAGACAGAGCUCUAGCACUCUCCCGCCCCGGCCCUGCUCCCACGGUGGUGUCUAGCUCCUUCCGAAUAUGAGUGAUUUUAUCUGCAAAAACUUUGCAAAAUCGUUGCAGGAGAUCUUGGGGUCUUUACAAGGCCCCGGUGGUAAAGGUGGUUCCGUUAAAUUGCGAACCACCUGAAAGAGUCUCCUGCUACUAUUUUCUGCAGAUGCAAUAGAGGCGGUGAAGAAAGUCUUCUUCGCCGUCGCUAUCGCCACUUGGUAGGCUCGACGUUGAGCUCUAACCUGUGUCCGGUCAGAUUCGGAGUGAGUUUUCUGCCACCGACGCUCUAGCCGUCUCAGCGAUUGUUUCAUCGCCCUCAGCUCCGAAGAAAACCACGGGGCUGUCCGGGCUCCAUGCAAUCGGAGAGGGCGCUCGGAGCCAGACAGUCGAUAGCCCUGGUUAACUCCGCAUUCCAGCGGGCCACCAGGGAAUCAGCUGAAAGGCCAUCAACAUGGGCUAAAGCAUCCCCUACCACUCUCUGGAAACCAUUUGGAUCCAUUAAGUGGCGGGGAGGACCAUCCGAAUUGGUCCCACCUCCCUGCAGAGGGGAAGGGUCGCGGAGAAGUCCAGUUGCACCAGGAAGUGAUCUGACCAUGGCACUUCUUUUGUUUCACUUUUACUUAGUGUCAGAUCACCCACGUCACUAGAGGUGAACACCAGGUCUAAGGCAUGUCCAUGACUAUGAGUUGGGCCAAACUUAUUCAGGGACAGCCCCAUGGAGGCCAUGCUUUCCACGAAGUCCCGAGCGGCCCCUUGUAAGGUCGUGUCGGCAUGGAUGUUAAAAUCCCCUAGGACAACCAAACUAGGUGUCUCCAGGAGAAAAUCCGCCACGACCUGAAGCAGCUCGGACAGGGAAUUCUUGGUGCAGCGGGGAGGUCGGUACACCAAAAGGAAUCCUGUACUGCCCCUAUUGCCCAACUUCCAGAACAUGCACUCAGAGAACUGGAUCUUCCCAGUAGGACGCCUGGUGCAAGCUAGUGACUUCCUAAAAAUCACUGCAACCCCCCCUCCCCGCCCACAUGACCUGGGUUGCUGUGCGUAAGAGAAACCUGGUGGGCAAGCAGCGGCAAGGACAGGCCCAUCUGCUUCCUCCAACCAGGUCUCUGUCACACAUGCCAGGUCAAAUCCUCCAUCCACAAUCAAGUCGUGGAUGGCAGUGGUUUUAUUCAUCAUUGACCUGGCAUUGCACAGCAACACUUUCAGGUCAUGUGGGUUUCCCCUGUUGAUUCCAGUAUCCAUCCGGUCAAGGCCAGACCCGGAGGCAGGGAUAGUCUUCAAACAACGACUAAACCUGCCUCCUCGGUAAUGACAUGGUCUGGUCUUAGCGUAACUCCGCCUCCUGCCCAUGAUCACCGAGAUCGGAUGUCCCAGUGCUUCCCCUGUGGAACUUGUCCCAGCCAUCGUGUUGGCUGGGAGCCACUCCCAGGCAGCCCUGAUCCCGCCCCUUAAAAACAAAACACAAACUAUA
Non-coding RNA from Podarcis lilfordi (Lilford's wall lizard), 2900 nucleotides. The record is from the annotation of a GenBank genome assembly. NCBI's taxonomy places the organism in Eukaryota, Metazoa, Chordata, Lepidosauria, Squamata, Lacertidae.